AAAUGAUAAAGCAUUUAGAUGUAAUUGGAUUUAAGCUCCAUUGAAAUUUCUAUCAUUUA
This 59-nucleotide transfer RNA is filed under the name Leptotrombidium intermedium. Its description in RNAcentral is "tRNA-Leu". The record is from RNAcentral. Lineage: Eukaryota; Metazoa; Arthropoda; Arachnida; Trombidiformes; Trombiculidae.